UACGAAGGGGGCUAGCGUUGCUCGGAAUCACUGGGCGUAAAGGGUGCGUAGGCGGGUCUUUAAGUCAGGGGUGAAAUCCCGGGGCUCAACCUCGGAACUGCCUUUGAUACUGCGAGUCUUGAGUCCGAUAGAGGUGGGUGGAAUUCCUAGUGUAGAGGUGAAAUUCGUAGAUAUUAGGAAGAACACCAGUGGCGAAGGCGGCCCACUGGAUCGGUACUGACGCUGAGGUGCGAAAGCGUGGGGAGCAAACAGG
This 253-nucleotide ribosomal RNA is filed under the name uncultured bacterium. Its description in RNAcentral is "partial 16S ribosomal RNA". It matches the Rfam family "Bacterial small subunit ribosomal RNA", at positions 524 to 776 of the family's 1533-position model. The record is from RNAcentral.